UGCAGUCGAGGGGUAACAGGGAGCUUGCUCCGCUGACGACCGGCGCACGGGUGCGCAACGCGUAUACAAUCUGCCUUAUGCUGAGGGAUAGCCCAGAGAAAUUUGGAUUAAUACCUCAUGGUAUCGAGAGACGGCAUCGUUUUUUGAUUAAAGGUCACGGCAUAAGAUGAGUAUGCGUCCCAUUAGCUAGUUGGUGUGGUAACGGCACACCAAGGCUACGAUGGGUAGGGGUCCUGAGAGGGAGAUCCCCCACACUGGUACUGAGACACGGACCAGACUCCUACGGGAGGCAGCAGUGAGGAAUAUUGGACAAUGGGCGGAAGCCUGAUCCAGCCAUGCCGCGUGCAGGAAGACGGUCCUAUGGAUUGUAAACUGCUUUUAUACGGGAAGAAUAAGGGCUACGUGUAGCCUGGUGACGGUACCGUAAGAAUAAGGAUCGGCUAACUCCGUGCCAGCAGCCGCGGUAAUACGGAGGAUCCAAGCGUUAUCCGGAAUCAUUGGGUUUAAAGGGUCCGUAGGCGGACUAUUAAGUCAGGGGUGAAAGUCUGCAGCUCAACUGUAGAAUUGCCUUUGAUACUGGUAGUCUUGAGUUAUGGUGAAGUGGCUAGAAUAUGUAGUGUAGCGGUGAAAUGCAUAGAUAUUACAUAGAAUACCGAUUGCGAAGGCAGGUCACUAACCAUAUACUGACGCUGAUGGACGAAGCGUGGGGAGCGAACAGGAUUAGAUACCCUGGUAGUCCACGCCGUAAACGAUGGAUACUAGCUGU
Molecule: ribosomal RNA, 766 nt
Filed under: Sediminicola sp.
Lineage: Bacteria; Pseudomonadati; Bacteroidota; Flavobacteriia; Flavobacteriales; Flavobacteriaceae
Description: bacterial SSU rRNA
Rfam family: Bacterial small subunit ribosomal RNA
Source: RNAcentral